GCCGAACGCUGGCGGCGUGCUUAACACAUGCAAGUCGAACGGAAAGGCCCUGCUUUUGUGGGGUGCUCGAGUGGCGAACGGGUGAGUAACACGUGAGUAACCUGCCCUUGACUUUGGGAUAACUUCAGGAAACUGGGGCUACUACCGGAUAGGAGCUCCUGCUGCAUGGUGGGGGUUGGAAAGUUUCGGCGGUUGCGGAUGGACUCGCGGCUUAUCAGCUUGUUGGUGGGGUAGUGGCUUACCAAGGCUGUGACGGGUAGCCGGCCUGAGAGGGUGACCGGCCACAUUGAGACUGAGAUACGGCCCAGACUCCUACGGAAGGCAGCAGUGGGGAAUAUUGCACAAUGGGCGGAAGCGUGAUGCAGCAGCGCCUCGUGCGGGAUGACGGCCUUCGGGUUGUAAACCGCUUUCGCCGGGGACGAAGCGUGGGUGACGGUAAUGGGGAAAGAAGCACCGGCUAACUACGU
This 467-nucleotide ribosomal RNA is filed under the name uncultured bacterium. Its description in RNAcentral is "partial 16S ribosomal RNA". It matches the Rfam family "Bacterial small subunit ribosomal RNA", at positions 28 to 506 of the family's 1533-position model. The record is from RNAcentral.